CAGGCUCUCCCUGCAAAUGAAAUGGCACUUCGGCCCCCUCUCUUUUGCCCAUCCCUUUGGCGUUAUGCGUGUCCCGGUCGUAGCUAGAAAUUAAUACCUCCAAAUGACGUCUGUUUGCAAAUGCACCUCUGGGGUGGAGGGUGGGGGAGAGGGGCUGGAAAGGGUUAAAGCAAUUAUUUCCCCCGGACGGCCACAACCAGCCAAACACAUUCCCGCUGCGAUCUAUCAGAGCUGCUGGGGCAAUUUCAGCAAUGACUUCACCCCACUGCAUUGCAACACUACAUAGUGCCCAACUGUUGGAGUUUGCUAAUUUGUGUGUUUUCACUCAAGGCCUGCUGAUUCAAUCAUUUUAAAGAUGCCCAUUUCUUCCAAGCCAGGGAUUUUAUGACUCUAAGGAUUAGAAGCUGUUAUCCCAACAAACCCUGGAGCUCUAUAUAUUCUCAUUUUAUGACCGUGUGAAAGGCAAAAAGUGUGCAACAACCAGGUACCGGGGUUUAAAAUCAACGGGAAGAGCUGUCACUGCUUUGUGUUUAAAAAGGAGUCGGAAGAAAUCCGUAUGGGGAGACGGAAUAAUAAAAGUCAGAUCUGCCGACUGAUCGCCCGGGCUUGUUUCAAGCACCCUGAUUUAGAAAUAAAUGAAGAAUCGGAACCUCUCUCCACAGA
Molecule: long non-coding RNA, 663 nt
Organism: Ornithorhynchus anatinus (platypus)
Lineage: Eukaryota; Metazoa; Chordata; Mammalia; Monotremata; Ornithorhynchidae
Exons: 2
Source: RefSeq, a predicted model, not a curated record